AUGCAAGUCGAGGGGCAGCGGGGAGUAGCAAUACUUCGCCGGCGACCGGCGCACGGGUGAGUAACACGUGUGCAACCAACCCCGUACCGGGAGAUAACCCGCGGAAACGUGGACUAACAUCCCAUAAGACUCUAGAGCCGCAUGGCUCUGGAUUUAAAAUUCCGGUGGUACGGGACGGGCACGCGCGACAUUAGGUAGUUGGCGGGGUAACGGCCCACCAAGCCGACGAUGUCUAGGGGUUCUGAGAGGAAGGUCCCCCACACUGGAACUGAGACACGGUCCAGACUCCUACGGGAGGCAGCAGUGAGGAAUAUUGGUCAAUGGGCGAGAGCCUGAACCAGCCAAGUCGCGUGAGGGAAGAAUGGUCUAUGGCCUGUAAACCUCUUUUGUCAAGGAAGAAUAAAAGGUACGUGUACCUUCUUGCCAGUACUUGACGAAUAAGCAUCGGCUAACUCCGUGCCAGCAGCCGCGGUAAUACGGGGGAUGCGAGCGUUAUCCGGAUUUAUUGGGUUUAAAGGGCGCGUAGGCGGGACGCCAAGUCAGCGGUAAAAGACUGCAGCUAAACUGUAGCACGCCGUUGAAACUGGCGACC
Molecule: ribosomal RNA, 592 nt
Filed under: uncultured Bacteroidales bacterium
Lineage: Bacteria; Pseudomonadati; Bacteroidota; Bacteroidia; Bacteroidales
Description: bacterial SSU rRNA
Rfam family: Bacterial small subunit ribosomal RNA
Source: RNAcentral